Molecule: ribosomal RNA, 490 nt
Filed under: uncultured bacterium
Lineage: Bacteria
Description: partial 16S ribosomal RNA
Rfam family: Bacterial small subunit ribosomal RNA
Source: RNAcentral
AUUGAACGCUGGCGGCAUGCCUUACACAUGCAAGUCGAACGGCAGCAUGAUAUAGCUUGCUUGUUUGAUGGCGCGUGGCGCGCGCGUGUGUAAUACAUCUCAGCAUGUCCUGUUGUGUGGGGUAACUCGUCGGGAGAUUAACUCUUACCGCAUACGCCCCGAGGGUGUGAGUGGGGGACAGCAACGCACCAUGCUCUAUUAGCGGCCGAUGUCGGAUUAGCUAGUUGGUGGGGUAAAGGCUCACCAAGGCGACGAUCUGUAGCUGGUCUGAGAGGACGAUCAGCCACACUGGGACUGAGACACGGUCCAGACUCCUACGGGAGGCAGCAGUGGGGAAUUUUGGACAAUGGGCGAAAGCCUGAUCCAGCAAUGCCGCGUGUGUGAAGAAGGCCUUCGGGUUGUAAAGCACUUUUGUUCGGAAAGAAAAGGAGCUGGUUAAUACCUCGGGUCGAUGACGGUACCGGAAGAAUAAGGACCGGCUAACUACGUG